UAGUCCACGCCCUAAACGAUGCUAACUCGAUAUGUGCACUAUAAGUGUGCGUGUCUAAGGGAAACCGAUAAGUUAGCCACCUGGGGAGUACGACCGCAAGGUUGAAACUCAAAGGAAUUGACGGGGGCCCGCACAAGCGGUGGAGCAUGUGGUUUAAUUCGAUGAUACGCGAGGAACCUUACCAGGGCUUAAAUGUAAGUUGCAUGAUCUAGAGAUAGGUCUUUCUUCGGACUACUUACAAGGUGCUGCAUGGUUGUCGUCAGCUCGUGCCGUGAGGUGUCAGGUUAAGUCCUAUAACGAGCGCAACCCCUACCGUUAGUUGCCAGCAUGUUAUGAUGGGGACUCUAGCGGGACUGCCGGUGCAAACCGAGAGGAAGGUGGGGAUGACGUCAAAUCAUCACGGCCCUUACGUCCUGGGCUACACACGUGCUACAAUGGUAACGACAGAGGGCAGCCACCCCGCGAGGGGGAGCGAAUCCUUAAACGUUAUCUCAGUUCGGAUCGGAGUCUGCAA
This 514-nucleotide ribosomal RNA is filed under the name uncultured bacterium. RNAcentral's name for it is "bacterial SSU rRNA". It matches the Rfam family "Bacterial small subunit ribosomal RNA", at positions 791 to 1310 of the family's 1533-position model. The record is from RNAcentral.